This 255-nucleotide ribosomal RNA is filed under the name uncultured bacterium. RNAcentral describes it as "partial 16S ribosomal RNA". It matches the Rfam family "Bacterial small subunit ribosomal RNA", at positions 524 to 776 of the family's 1533-position model. The record is from RNAcentral.
GACAGAGGCCCCAAGCGUUAGGCGGAAUCACUGGGCUUAAAGCGUGUGUAGGCGGACGCCUAAGUGUCUUGUGAAAUCCCACGGCUCACCCGUGGAACUGCUGGGCAUACUGGGCGUCUUGGGCCAACUAGGGGCAGCCGGAACAAGCGGUGGAGCGGUGAAAUGCGUAGAUAUCGCUUGGAACGCCGAAGGUGAAAACAGGCUGCUGGGGUUGCGCCGACGCGUGAGACACGAAAGCCCAGGGGAGCAAACGGG